This 355-nucleotide ribosomal RNA is filed under the name uncultured bacterium. RNAcentral describes it as "bacterial SSU rRNA". It matches the Rfam family "Bacterial small subunit ribosomal RNA", at positions 917 to 1269 of the family's 1533-position model. The record is from RNAcentral.
GGACCCGCACAAGCAGUGGAGCAUGUGGUUUAAUUCGAAGCAACGCGCAGAACCUUACCAGCCUUUGACAUCCUGGUCGCGGUUUGAGGAGACUCUUACCUUCAGUUCGGCUGGACCAGUGACAGGUGCUGCAUGGCUGUCGUCAGCUCGUGUCGUGAGAUGUUGGGUUAAGUCCCGCAACGAGCGCAACCCUCGUCCUUAGUUGCUACCAUUUAGUUGGGCACUUUAAGGAAACUGCCGGUGAUAAGCCGGAGGAAGGUGGGGAUGACGUCAAGUCCUCAUGGCCCUUACAGGCUGGGCUACACACGUGCUACAAUGGCGAUGACAGUGGGCAGCGACCCCGCAAGGGUGAGCU